This 22-nucleotide microRNA is filed under the name Ixodes ricinus (castor bean tick). Its description in RNAcentral is "iri-miR-X15-3p". Lineage: Eukaryota; Metazoa; Arthropoda; Arachnida; Ixodida; Ixodidae. The record is from RNAcentral.
UUCGGGAUCUCUGAGGCUAUGG